AUCACUAGAAUGAAAAUAAAUGUAUACAAAAGUGAAUAAACCCAUAAUAGCAAGAUAAUAGGAGUAAGGGCCAACAGUGAACUAAGGCUAUUAAUACAAUUCUGGCAGACAAAAAGCAGAUGUGUGUGGUGACAAGGGAGACAAAGCAGAAAUAACUACAAGCCAGAAUAACAGAGACUCUGUUUAAAAAGCCAUAUCUGGGGCAAUUUUCUGGGGGCUCCAGGAAGAGGCGCCGCAUAGCGUCAGCAAGGACUCAAAAGGAGCACUUCCCAGUGAAGCAAAAGAGUGGCGUAAUAAUUGGAGAACCCUCACGACGUGUCAGCCCCACCACGGCCCCAUAAAUGUAGCAUGAGUGCGAGCUUGAAAUUUGUAACAUGAGAUGAAAACUGGAGAAGCAUCCCUAAAAUAUAUGAACCAAUCUGCCUAGAAAUAGCUAGGAAUCUGCCACCAGAAAGAUGAAUAAAAUAAAAGAUUGAAGAAGUAGCAAGUAGCAGUAUGGAAGACUUGUGGCUAAGAUAUGUGUCUUGGGAAAAAGAAGGGCUGAAUGUUAACACAACUAAGGGUCUCACUGAUUCCCCAAUGAAGCAACUUCACGGGGGAACCCCUCUAAGAGAUUUUCUCUCUGCAUUCACAGAAGACACUUCGCACUGUUAUGCACCAGGAGGAUUGACUGUCUCUGUGGCUUGGAGGCAGUUAUACGUAGCAGCAGCAGCAGCAGCAGCAGCAAAAGUUAACAGGAGCCGGAGUCUGUCUUCAAAGAGCAGUCAGUAGAGAUGAAGAGUAGAUUACUGAUUCCAUAGUACAUGUCAGAUACUGCCUAGGGACUUCCUAAGUAGAGGUCAAGGUCCCACUGUUAUACAGUGUAUAAAUUCACAGAAGUCAGAAGCUGAAUGCAGUCACAAAGAGAGCAAAGCACUUUGUAAAGUGAACUCAAUACCCCCGUUGGGGCUCAGAAAACAGUACCCCAAAGUGAAGUCCUCAGAAGCAGCCCCAAAAGUAAAGUCUCUGACCUUCUCCUACCCUCCCAUCCUCUCUCCCUUCCUUCUCCACUGAGGCAAGAUAGAAACUAAAAUUCCUCUUCCCCAAGGAACCCCGCCUUUUUGUGUAACAGUUGGCCAUAAAGAAAUUAAGACCUUCAUUCCAGAGAGUCCUAUUGCAUGCCUGAGAGGGAGGAAGGCUGCACAGAGACGCCAAGAAGCUGGACAGUCCUUGCUGGGUUUCCCCACUCAGUCUUUAAGCAUUCGAUCAUACCCCUUCUGUCCAGUUGUAUUUUACAUGGCUGUCCAUACAUCAUUGAAUGUCAGUGUAAAAAUGGAUUGUUUUCCCUGUAUCUUUGGGUCUUUAUUCUGAAGUCUCUUUUAAAACUAUGAUCAA
RNAcentral lists this long non-coding RNA (1374 nucleotides) under Homo sapiens (human). RNAcentral describes it as "HSALNT0347087". The record is from RNAcentral. Lineage: Eukaryota; Metazoa; Chordata; Mammalia; Primates; Hominidae.